AUGAAUUGGACUCCACCUAUGUCAGCGUUGAUGCUGAAAGGACUUUCAGAGGUGGCGGCAAGAGGUGCCAAGACUGAUAAAGGAUUCAAAGAGGUUGAAAAAUUGAAAGUUGCAAAGCGUAUAUCUUCUUUCGUUGGUUAUGACGUGUCUAUUACCCAAGUGCACAAUCAUAUUCGCAAGUGGAGGAAUAGGUGGACAAGGCUUGUCUAUUUGAAGGGUUUAGGAGCACUUUGGGAUGAUGACAAGAAGAUGGUAGUGCUAGAAGAACAACACUAUUUGGGACACACACACAUGUCUCAGUUAAUUAUUUUUGUUCAAAUGGUGUUGUAGGAUCAUCCAACAGAUGCUGAAUUGCUCAAUUCUCCACUGAAGAACUACGACUAUAUGGAACUUUGCUUUGCUAAUAAGCAUGCCACUGGGAAGUAUGCAAUGGGCCCCGGUGUGCCCCUAGGGACGCCUAUUGUUGUCGAAGACAAGGAUAAACCGAAUGUCAUGGAGGGGGAAGGAACAACAGAUGAGGUAUUGCAACAUCAGCCUGGGUCUAACUUUGUACUUCCUACUGCUAGUGCCACUCAGGACCCUUCUCCUACUUCAAAUAAGAAGAGAAAGAGGGCAUCUGGCUUGACUGUGGAGGACUCAAUCCAGUGUAGCAAAAUUAAUGAUCCUAUGCGUGAGAUUGCAAGUGCUAUCAACAACACUUGCCAUGUUGAGACUGCACCCUGCUUGUACAACGCUGUCAUGGACCUUCUUGUGUUUGAGCAAGAUGAGCGUUUGGCUGUUUUUGAUUAUGUCACAAAACAUAAGGCAAAAGGCCUUAACUUUGUGAAGAUGAAUGAUGAAGUCCGAAAAGCAUCGUUCAAGCGAAUCUUGAAAGCCAAUCCCGAUCUUCUUUGA
This 894-nucleotide ribosomal RNA is filed under the name Triticum aestivum (bread wheat). RNAcentral's name for it is "partial small subunit ribosomal RNA". The record is from RNAcentral. Lineage: Eukaryota; Viridiplantae; Streptophyta; Magnoliopsida; Poales; Poaceae.